Molecule: long non-coding RNA, 398 nt
Filed under: Androctonus crassicauda
Lineage: Eukaryota; Metazoa; Arthropoda; Arachnida; Scorpiones; Buthidae
Source: RNAcentral
CGGAGCAGUCGACAGUAAUUUUUGCAGUAAGAUUGUUGUUAACUAUUGUUUUCGCUUGUAAAUUCAGUGGACUGUAUACACUUGAUAAUAAAUGUCCUUUAUUACUGAUCACACAUAAAUGAACGAUUACAAUGGAUUGAUCAUUAAUGACCACACUUAAACUGAACGAUUACAAUGGAUUGAUCUUUCGUUGCUUUCAAGAUGGACACGCUGCCUUACGUGACCUGAUGGUCCAGCUUCUGGUCGUUGUCUGCUGUCCUUUUCUGUCUCGAGUCGUGCUGCCAACCCUAAAGUUUUUACCGGGUUGCCAGCUCAACGACGCUAAAAAUUAUAAAAGAAAAAUUGAACAAACGAGCCUUAACAACUAUAAUUUGACUUGUUGCUUGAUGAUAGAGAAG